UACGAACCGUCCAAACGUUACUCGGAAUCACUGGGCUUAAAGGGUGCGUAGGCUGCGCGGAGGGUGGGAUGUGAAAUCCCCCGGCUUAACCGGGGAAUAGCGUCCCAAACCGCCGUGCUCGAGGGAGAUAGAGGUGAGCGGAACAGAUGGUGAAGCGGUGAAAUGCGUUGAUAUCAUCUGGAACACCCGUGGCGAAAGCGGCUCACUGGCUCUUUCCUGACGCUGAGGCACGAAAGCUAGGGGAGCGAACGGG
This 253-nucleotide ribosomal RNA is filed under the name uncultured bacterium. RNAcentral's name for it is "partial 16S ribosomal RNA". It matches the Rfam family "Bacterial small subunit ribosomal RNA", at positions 524 to 776 of the family's 1533-position model. The record is from RNAcentral.